Long non-coding RNA from Zalophus californianus (California sea lion), 1531 nucleotides. RefSeq lists it as uncharacterized. The record is from RefSeq and is a predicted model, not a curated record. NCBI's taxonomy places the organism in Eukaryota, Metazoa, Chordata, Mammalia, Carnivora, Otariidae. The transcript has 3 exons.
GACACGGCCCUGAAAGCCCCGAGCCUGCUCGAGCUCACCAAGGGCGGCCGAGAGCGGCGGCCCACGCACCGAGCCCUGGGGCCCUGGGACACUCGGAGGUGGCAGAGAAGAGAGGGAGCCGGCAGCGGAGACUGAGGAGGGGCGGCCAGGGGUCUGGGAGGGAACCCCAAGAGUGCAGGUGCAGCGUGACCUCCUGGUACGGGAAUGAGCCGUGCACACGCGCGCGCACACACCCGGGGAGGGGUGGUCAGGGAGGAGGGAGUGAUGCGCUCCGCCGGGGGCUGCUGACGGUCAACGGUCAAGGGAGGGCAGGUCCCAGCAGGCUCGCCGUGCUUGGCAACGAGCUCCUGGAGACCCGCACGAGAGGGGUUCGGGGUGGGUGCGGGUGGCGGGGGUUCAGAGGGGAUGGGGAACUCGGGGACAGCCAGUCCGGGCCGCUCUCGGGAGGGGCUUCCCUCUGGCGCCGGAGAGGAGGGAGUGAAGUUCUGCAGCGGGAGGGGUUCAGGGUGGAGGAGAGGCUGCCCCCCCGCCCCCCCCCCGCGUUCCCAGGGGAGGGUUUGCGGCUCCUCCCCGCACGUGCCCGGGGCUGGGGGGGCGGCCAGAGAGGAAGGGGGGCGCUGAGGCGCGAGGGAGGGAAGAGCUCAAGCUGAGGAGGGGGGCUUUGCCUGGAGGGCCCAGCUCCGGGGGGGACCCUCCUCCCCCAGGUUCUCAGCGCCCUGGAGCGAGAUGCCUCUUGUCGGAAGCAUAAGUUGCGACAGAAACUGGAACAGAUCAUCAGCCUCGUGUCCAGCAACCCCUAAGGGUGGCGGAACCGAUUUCCGAGUGUUCUCUCCUGAAAGAGGUGUUGGAUUUUGUCAAAUGCUUUUUCCAUCAAGAAUUUUUGGAUCCACAUUCAUAAGGGAUAUUGGUCUGGUUUUCCUGUGAUGUCUUUGUCUUGCUCUGGUAUCAAGGUGAUGCUCAUGGAAUGAAGAACUUGAAGAGCUCUGAUGUGGGCUGAGAGGGGAGAAAUGAUGCUCAGCGUGAUGGUGGCGGUCAUGAUGGUGAUGACGAUGGAGUUAAUGAAAAUGAUGGAGAACCUCACCUGACUAGAUGCAGCAGCUGUAGCGCCUACAGCGAGGAUCUGUUUCUCUCUUUCCGUCUGUGUCUCUCUGACUUUGUCUCAUUCUCUCCCUCCUUUUUUUUUCUUUCAUUCCCUUCUUUCCUUUCUUUCUUUCAUCAUUUUUAGACAUUCCUUAUCGAUGGAGAGAUGAAAACUUAGCUCCCGUACUCCACUACUUACUACACUUCUUCUUCACCUUAUGCUCUCUUAUUACAGAAAACUAAAUUUCCGAAAGAAUCAAAGUUUAAAUGGGGGGAGAUGAAAGCAUACAAUUAAAUGGAAAAUAUGAAACCAUGAAAAUGGAAGGAGAAAACACUGAUGAAGGAUUUUAACGUACCAUACAAAACCCAGAAGCCAUGAAUGAGUAAAAAUUGUUCAAUAUCUGAUUAUAAAGAAAUGUUAAAUUUAUUUAUUAUGGCAGAAAAUAUCACU